RNAcentral lists this ribosomal RNA (207 nucleotides) under uncultured bacterium. Its description in RNAcentral is "partial 16S ribosomal RNA". It matches the Rfam family "Bacterial small subunit ribosomal RNA", at positions 568 to 774 of the family's 1533-position model. The record is from RNAcentral.
UGCGUAGGCGGGUCUUUAAGUCAGAGGUGAAAUCCUGGAGCUCAACUCCAGAACUGCCUUUGAUACUGAGGAUCUUGAGUUCGGGAGAGGUGAGUGGAACUGCGAGUGUAGAGGUGAAAUUCGUAGAUAUUCGCAAGAACACCAGUGGCGAAGGCGGCUCACUGGCCCGAUACUGACGCUGAGGCACGAAAGCGUGGGGAGCAAACA